GGUGUUGUCAAGGUUAUAGGAGGUGUUGUCAAGGCUAGAGUAGGUGUUGUCAAGGUUACAGGAGGUGUUGUCAAGGUUAGAUGAGGUGUUGUCAAGGUUAUAGGAGGUGUUGUCAAGGCUAGAGUAGGUGUUGUCAAGGUUAUAGGAGGUGUUGUCAAGGCUAGAGUAGGUGUUGUCAAGGUUAUAGGAGGUGUUGUCAAGGUUAGAUGAGGUGUUGUCAAGGUUAUAGGAGGUGUUGUCAAGGCUAGAGUAGGUGUUGUCAAGGUUAUAGGAGGUGUUGUCAAGGCUAGAGUAGGUGUUGUCAAGGUUAUAGGAGGUGUUGUCAAGGUUAUAGGAGGUGUUGUCAAGGUUAGAUGAGGUGUUGUCAAGGUUAGAUGAGGUGUUGUCAAGGUUAUAGGAGGUGUUUUCAAGGCUAGAGUAGGUGUUGUCAAGGCAAGAGUAGGUGAUUUCGAAGUUAGAGGAGGUGUGGUCAAAAUUAGAGGAGGUGUGGUCAAGGUUAGAGGAGGUGUGGUCAAGGUUAGAGUAGGUGUGGUCAAGGUUAGAGUAGGUGUGGUCAAAAUUAGAGGAGGUGUGGUAAAGGAUAGAGGAGGUGUUGUCAAGGUUAUAGGAGGUGUUUUCAAGGUUAGAGGAGGUGUUGUCAAGGUUAGAGGAGGUGGUGUCAAGGUUAGAGGAGGUGGUGUCAAGGUUACAGGAGGUGUUUUCAAGGCUAGAGGAGGUGUUGUCAAGGUUAGAGGAGGUGUUGUCAAGGCUAGUUGAGGUGUUGUCAAGGUUAGAGGAGGUGUUGUCAAGGCUAGAGGAGGUGUUGUCAAGGUUAGAGGAGGUGUUGUCAAUGUUAGUGGAGGUGUUGUCAAGGUUAGAUGAGGUGUUGUCGAGGUUAGAGAAGCUGUUGUCAAGGUUAGAGGAGGUGUUGUCAAGGCUAGAGGAGGUGUUGUCAAGGUUAGUGGAGGUGUUGUCAAGGUUAGAGAAGCUGUUGUCAAGGUUAGAGGAGGUGUUGUCAAGGCUAGAGGGGGUGUUGUCAAUGUUAGAGGAGGUGUUGUCAAGGUUAGAUGAGGUGUUGUUGAGGUUAGAGAAGGUGUUGUCAAGGUUAGAGUAGCUGUUGUCAAGGCUUGAGGAGGUGUUGUCAAGGUUAGAUGAGGUGUUGUCAAGGUUAGAGGAGCUGUUGUCAUGUUAGAUGAGGUGUUGUCAAGGUUAGAGGAGCUGUUGUCAAGGUUAGUGGCGGUGUUGUCAAUGUUAGAUCAGGUGUUGUCAAGGUUAGAGGAGCUGUUGUCAAAGUUAGAGGAGGUGUUGUCAAGGUUAGAGGAGGUGUUGUCAAGGUUAGAGGAGCUGUUGUCAAGGUUAGAGGAGCUAUUGUCAAAGUUAGAGGAGGUGUUGUCAAGGCUAGAUGAGGUGUUGUCAAGGCUAGAGGAGGUGUUGUCAAGGUUAGAGGAGGUGUUGUCAAGGUUAGAUGAGGUGUGGUCAAGGUUAGAGGAAGUGUUGUCAAGGUUAGAAAAUAUGUUUGGGAACAGACUUUUUCUGUUGGCCCAACUGUAGGAGGAAAUAAAAUAAAGUCAUAUGCUUUUGAAUGGAUGCUCUCAACAUCAGUUGUAUGGAGAGGCAGAUGGGUGAACAUACAAAUAGACAGACAGAAGUAGCAUGUCAUCAUACCCGAGUGGCGCAGCGGUCUAAGGCACUGCAUCUCAGUGCAAGAGGCAUCACUACAGUCCUUGGUUCAAAUCCAGGCUGUAUCACAUCCGUCCAUGUUUGGGAGUGCCAUAGGGCGGUGCUCGUCCAGGUUUGGCCAGGCUAGGCCGUCAUUGUAAAUAAGAAUUUGUUGUUAACUGACUUGCCUAUUCAAAUAAUGGCAAAAUAAAAGAAAUAUAAAAACAUACCCUGAGGGUAUGCUGACGACAUGACGGUGGUGGGCCUGAUCGCCG
This 1913-nucleotide long non-coding RNA is filed under the name Salmo salar (Atlantic salmon). RNAcentral's name for it is "lncRNA (ENSSSAG00000093100.1)". The record is from RNAcentral. Lineage: Eukaryota; Metazoa; Chordata; Actinopteri; Salmoniformes; Salmonidae.